UACCAGACUGGCGGCGAGAUCAAAAGAGCGCCGAACUCUCCCAAAGGGAAUAUACGGCUCUGCCAGACAAACAGCUAAGAACUUGUGCACGUUCGGAUAGAGUGCUUUUUUGCGCUUUUCUUCACUGCUGUUUGUGCAAGAUAUUGGGCCUGAGACCACGCCGGCUAAUGCGGAAGCCAGUGCAGUUUCUUUGACGAGACUUGGAG
Long non-coding RNA from Rhipicephalus sanguineus (brown dog tick), 206 nucleotides. RefSeq lists it as uncharacterized. The transcript has 3 exons. The record is from RefSeq and is a predicted model, not a curated record. Lineage: Eukaryota; Metazoa; Arthropoda; Arachnida; Ixodida; Ixodidae.